ACGCUGGCGGCAGGCUUAACACAUGCAAGUCGAACGGUAGCAGGAGGAAGCUUGCUUUCUUGCUGACGAGUGGCGGACGGGUGAGUAAUGCUUGGGAAUCUGGCUUAUGGAGGGGGAUAACUACGGGAAACUGUAGCUAAUACCGCGUAGUGUCGAGAGACGAAAGUGCGGGACCGCAAGGCCGCAUGCCAUGAGCUGAGCCCAAGUGGGAUUAGGUAGUUGGUGGGGUAAAGGCCUACCAAGCCUGCGAUCUCUAGCUGGUCUGAGAGGAUGGCCAGCCACACUGGAACUGAGACACGGUCCAGACUCCUACGGGAGGCAGCAGUGGGGAAUAUUGCGCAAUGGGGGGAACCCUGACGCAGCCAUGCCGCGUGAAUGAAGAAGGCCUUCGGGUUGUAAAGUUCUUUCGGUAUUGAGGAAGGAGUGUAUGUUAACAGCAUACAUUAUUGACGUUAAAUACAGAAGAAGCACCGGCUAACUCCGUGCCAGCAGCCGCGGUAAUACGGAGGGUGCGAGCGUUAAUCGGAAUAACUGGGCGUAAAGGGCACGCAGGCGGUUAUUUAAGUGAGGUGUGAAAGCCCCGGGCUUAACCUGGGAAUUGCAUUUCAGACUGGGUAACUAGAGUACUUUAGGGAGGGGUAGAAUUCCACGUGUAGCGGUGAAAUGCGUAGAGAUGUGGAGGAAUACCGAAGGCGAAGGCAGCCCCUUGGGAAUGUACUGACGCUCAUGUGCGAAAGCGUGGGGAGCAAACAGGAUUAGAUACCCUGGUAGUCCACGCUGUAAACGCUGUCGAUUUGGGGAUUGGGCUUAAAGCUUGGUGCCCGUAGCUAACGUGAUAAAUCGACCGCCUGGGGAGUACGGCCGCAAGGUUAAAACUCAAAUGAAUUGACGGGGGCCCGCACAAGCGGUGGAGCAUGUGGUUUAA
This 925-nucleotide ribosomal RNA is filed under the name uncultured bacterium. RNAcentral describes it as "bacterial SSU rRNA". It matches the Rfam family "Bacterial small subunit ribosomal RNA", at positions 33 to 949 of the family's 1533-position model. The record is from RNAcentral.